RNAcentral lists this ribosomal RNA (253 nucleotides) under uncultured bacterium. RNAcentral describes it as "partial 16S ribosomal RNA". It matches the Rfam family "Bacterial small subunit ribosomal RNA", at positions 524 to 776 of the family's 1533-position model. The record is from RNAcentral.
UACGUAGGGUGCAAGCGUUGUCCGGAAUUAUUGGGCGUAAAGAGCUCGUAGGCGGUUUGUCGCGUCUGCCGUGAAAGUCCGGGGCUCAACUCCGGAUCUGCGGUGGGUACGGGCAGACUAGAGUGAUGUAGGGGAGACUGGGAUUCCUGGUGUAGCGGUGAAAUGCGCAGAUAUCAGGAGGAACACCGAUGGCGAAGGCAGGUCUCUGGGCAUUAACUGACGCUGAGGAGCGAAAGCAUGGGGAGCGAACAGG